AUGGAGGAGUACAAGCACUUUGUGCGCUUCCGCCUCGACGCCGCGACGCGCGAGCUGCACGCGUACGUCGUCGCGGUGCAAAAGCCGUCGAAGGUGUACCAACUCGACCGUGGUUACCUGUGGAGCCUGACGAGCCCAGGCCUUGAGGAGCACCGGCCACCACACCUGAAGCAGCACCCGAGUCGAUGGGGGCCGGUGCUGAGCGACGCGCGGUGCAAACGUCCCAUGACCGAAGUUCUCGAGCAUUUUACGGUCCGCCCGCACCGCGUCCCGCAGCGGACGAAGCAGCCGAUGGCGGAUUCGGAAUAAGUGUUGAUGGGCCAAUCCCGCAGCAACACACACGCACACACACUUGCAUACACACACAAAGAUUCCUCACGCGAGCACAACCUCCCCACGCCUGCCUGUUUCUCUGGCUCUCCUCCUUCGUGCACAUGGAGUGACAAUGAGGGAAGGCCUACCCCGCUGUCCCCCCUCCCUCCCUCACAGCAACACCGGAGACGGACUGGAACCGUUCUCGGAGAGGGCACCGCGCCUGCUCGUUCUUUACACCUGCGAGAGAUGCAGGCCGAGAGCAUGCCUCUGCCUGCUGUAACGGGAGAGGUGCAUAGGAUAUGUGGGCUGAAACCGAAGCGAGAGGGCAGGGGAUGCAGGCACAGGCGCCUGGCGCCGCCACUUACACCAACGAGUGCUGGUUUUUUUUUCAUGCGUGCUUGGCAUUGUAUGAGUUCUGAGCGAGUGGAACCAUUCUCGAAGGGGCCAUGCGCCGCGGGCGCGCCUGUAGCGAUGAUGAUGCGUGUUUGCGUGGGCGAGUGCACUUCGCAGCUGCUGCGGGCGCGUCAUCACUGGCCGGAGUUGGUGGAAUGUGGCGUGUCUCCCCUCGCCUUGGUCGCGUGAUUCUUACCUUUCACGCCUCCGUCGUGACCAGAGCAAUGACGCGCACACGCAAACACACACAACCCCCCCCCCUUCCCCUCUCUGCGCAUCCUCUCCGGCAUUGCUCUUGAUCUCUCCUCCCUGUCGCACCACAAAACGCGCUCUCUUCAUGAUGCGGCACCGCAAG
This 1063-nucleotide unclassified non-coding RNA is filed under the name Leishmania donovani. RNAcentral describes it as "gene:LdHU3.20.0520(CDS-product:Metallo-dependent_ phosphatase-like_domain-containing_protein)". The record is from RNAcentral. Lineage: Eukaryota; Euglenozoa; Kinetoplastea; Trypanosomatida; Trypanosomatidae.